UACGAAGGGGGCUAGCGUUGUUCGGAAUGACUGGGCGUAAAGGGCGCGUAGGCGGCGGACUAAGUCAGGCGUGAAAGCCCUGGGCUUAACCUGGGAAUUGCGUUUGAUACUGGUUUGCUUGAGUGCGGGAGAGGAUGGUGGAAUUCCCAGUGUAGAGGUGAAAUUCGUAGAUAUUGGGAAGAACACCGGUGGCGAAGGCGGCCAUCUGGACCGUUACUGACGCUGAGGCGCGAAAGCGUGGGGAGCAAAC
Molecule: ribosomal RNA, 250 nt
Filed under: uncultured bacterium
Lineage: Bacteria
Description: partial 16S ribosomal RNA
Rfam family: Bacterial small subunit ribosomal RNA
Source: RNAcentral